GGCUUAGAGUUUGAUCAUGGCUCAGGACGAACGCUGGCGGCGUGCCUAAUACAUGCAAGUCGAGCGAGCGGAACUAACAGAUUUACUUCGGUAAUGACGUUAGGAAAGCGAGCGGCGGAUGGGUGAGUAACACGUGGGGAACCUGCCCUAUAGUCUGGGAUACCACUUGGAAACAGGUGCUAAUACCGGAUAAGAAAGCAGAUCGCAUGAUCAGCUUUUAAAAGGCGGCGUAAGCUGUCGCUAUGGGAUGGCCCCGCGGUGCAUUAGCUAGUUGGUAAGGUAAAGGCUUACCAAGGCGAUGAUGCAUAGCCGAGUUGAGAGACUGAUCGGCCACAUUGGGACUGAGACACGGCCCAAACUCCUACGGGAGGCAGCAGUAGGGAAUCUUCCACAAUGGACGCAAGUCUGAUGGAGCAACGCCGCGUGAGUGAAGAAGGUUUUCGGAUCGUAAAGCUCUGUUGUUGGUGAAGAAGGAUAGAGGUAGUAACUGGCCUUUAUUUGACGGUAAUCAACCAGAAAGUCACGGCUAACUACGUGCCAGCAGCCGCGGUAAUACGUAGGUGGCAAGCGUUGUCCGGAUUUAUUGGGCGUAAAGCGAGCGCAGGCGGAAGAAUAAGCCUGAUGUGAAAGCCCUCGGCUUAACCGAGGAACUGCAUCGGAAACUGUUUUUCUUGAGUGCAGAAGAGGAGAGUGGAACUCCAUGUGUAGCGGUGGAAUGCGUAGAUAUAUGGAAGAACACCAGUGGCGAAAGCGGCUCUCUGGUCUGCAACUGACGCUGAGGCUCGAAAGCAUGGGUAGCGAACAGGAUUAGAUACCCUGGUAGUCCAUGCCGUAAACGAUGAGUGCUAAGUGUUGGGAGGUUUCCGCCUCUCA
RNAcentral lists this ribosomal RNA (873 nucleotides) under uncultured organism. RNAcentral describes it as "bacterial SSU rRNA". It matches the Rfam family "Bacterial small subunit ribosomal RNA", at positions 1 to 842 of the family's 1533-position model. The record is from RNAcentral.